UAGGGAAUAUUGGGCAAUGGCCGAGAGGCUGACCCAGCCAUGCCGCGUGCAGGAAGAAGGCCUUCUGGGUUGUAAACUGCUUUUAUCAGGGAAGAAAACGCUCCUGCGGGAGUAACUGACGGUACCUGAUGAAUAAGCACCGGCUAACUCCGUGCCAGCAGCCGCGGUAAUACGGAGGGUGCAAGCGUUGUCCGGAUUUAUUGGGUUUAAAGGGUGCGUAGGCGGCCCGUUAAGUCAGCGGUGAAAUCCCAGGGCUCAACCCUGGAACUGCCGUUGAUACUGGCGGGCUUGAGUUUGGUCGAGGCGGGCGGAACUGGUGGUGUAGCGGUGAAAUGCAUAGAUACCACCAAGAACCCCGAUUGCGUAGGCAGCUCGCUAGGCCAAAACUGACGCUGAGGCACGAAAGCGUGGGGAGCGAACA
This 421-nucleotide ribosomal RNA is filed under the name uncultured Pontibacter sp. Its description in RNAcentral is "bacterial SSU rRNA". It matches the Rfam family "Bacterial small subunit ribosomal RNA", at positions 355 to 774 of the family's 1533-position model. Lineage: Bacteria; Pseudomonadati; Bacteroidota; Cytophagia; Cytophagales; Hymenobacteraceae. The record is from RNAcentral.